GAGUUUGAUCGUGGCUCAGAUUGAACGCUGGCGGCAUGCCUUACACAUGCAAGUCGAACGGUAACAGGUCUUCGGACGCUGACGAGUGGCGAACGGGUGAGUAAUACAUCGGAACGUGCCCAGUCGUGGGGGAUAACUACUCGAAAGAGUAGCUAAUACCGCAUACGAUCUGAGGAUGAAAGCGGGGGACCUUCGGACCUCGCGCGAUUGGAGCGGCCGAUGGCAGAUUAGGUAGUUGGUGGGAUAAAAGCUUACCAAGCCGACGAUCUGUAGCUGGUCUGAGAGGACGACCAGCCACACUGGGACUGAGACACGGCCCAGACUCCUACGGGAGGCAGCAGUGGGGAAUUUUGGACAAUGGGCGAAAGCCUGAUCCAGCAAUGCCGCGUGCAGGAUGAAGGCCUU
Molecule: ribosomal RNA, 405 nt
Filed under: uncultured microorganism
Description: bacterial SSU rRNA
Rfam family: Bacterial small subunit ribosomal RNA
Source: RNAcentral